Molecule: ribosomal RNA, 254 nt
Filed under: uncultured bacterium
Lineage: Bacteria
Description: partial 16S ribosomal RNA
Rfam family: Bacterial small subunit ribosomal RNA
Source: RNAcentral
CACGUAGGGCGCGAGCGUUGUCCGGAAUUACUGGGCGUAAAGCGCACGUAGGCGGCUUUGUAAGUUAGAGGUGAAAGCCCGGGGCUCAACUCCGGAAUUGCCUUUAAGACUGCAUCGCUAGAAUUGUGGAGAGGUAAGUGGAAUUCCGAGUGUAGAGGUGAAAUUCGUAGAUAUUCGGAAGAACACCAGUGGCGAAGGCGACUUACUGGACACAUAUUGACGCUGAGGUGCGAAAGCGUGGGGGAGCAAACAGG